UACGUAGGGCGCAAGCGUUGUCCGGAAUUAUUGGGCGUAAAGAGCUCGUAGGCGGCUUGUCACGUCGGGUGUGAAAGCCCGGGGCUUAACCCCGGGUCUGCAUUCGAUACGGGCAGGCUAGAGUGUGGUAGGGGAGAUCGGAAUUCCUGGUGUAGCGGUGAAAUGCGCAGAUAUCAGGAGGAACACCAGUAGCGAAGGCGGCACUCUGGGCCGGUACUGACGCUGAGGAGCGAAAGCGUGGGGAGCGAACAGG
Molecule: ribosomal RNA, 253 nt
Filed under: uncultured bacterium
Lineage: Bacteria
Description: partial 16S ribosomal RNA
Rfam family: Bacterial small subunit ribosomal RNA
Source: RNAcentral